Morus notabilis is the source of this 724-nucleotide long non-coding RNA. RefSeq lists it as uncharacterized. NCBI's taxonomy places the organism in Eukaryota, Viridiplantae, Streptophyta, Magnoliopsida, Rosales, Moraceae. The transcript is spliced from 4 exons. The record is from RefSeq and is a predicted model, not a curated record.
UUCUUUGCUAAUUUGCCGCUUUUCCAUCUUCCCUCCCAAAACUUCCACUUUCCACGACUCUCUCUCUAGACGACGAUGUUGGCGCUCAAACUGUGGCUACUCCUGCUUGUCAUCUCCGCCAUGGCUCCUCGCUAAGUGGAGCUGAACUUUGGCCUGGAAAUUGUUAGCUUCCACCUUCGUUUCUCAUCUGGCUCCGACGCCAAAGCCUCGCACCUCGGCGGUGUGGCCAGCACAAUCUCGAAGCAAUGCAUCGAUUCGGCUUUAGACGCCAACUCCGAGGAGGCUGCCGCCACCGCCGCCGAUCGUCGCUGCGAGACGUCCUGGAGCCGCGACACGAUGAUGAAGCUGACCGUCUCCCACUCGCUUUCGCUGAUUGUCGUCGCCGGAAUGAUUGCAUUGGAAGAUUCUUUAGUCAGCAAAAAGAAAGGAUAGCCUGCUAAUUCCUACACACACUGAGAACUCCGACCAUCCUCAAACGCCGACCGACCCUCCAGAACUCUGACCCGACCCGCUCGAACGCCGUCCCGACCCGACCACCCACGCCUCCAGACCACGAUUGAAAUGUCAUCACAAAGCAAUUCUUCUUCCUUAACUAAGACGACUAUUUCCAGAAUUCCCAUCGACGAGGGAACGUAAUGUGCUCUCCCUGAAGUAACAUUAAGAUUUUAUUCUCAGAAUUAACAUUAAGGUUUAAUUCUUGUUUUAUUUUUUUAAUUACAUUUUU